UACAGAGGUCCCGAGCGUUGUUCGGAUUCACUGGGCGUAAAGGGUGCGUAGGCGGUCGGAUAAGUUUGAUGUGAAAUCUCCGGGCUUAACCCGGAAACUGCAUUGAAUACUAUUCGGCUUGAGGUUUGGAGGGGGGACUGGAAUUCUCGGUGUAGCAGUGAAAUGCGUAGAUAUCGAGAGGAACACCAGUGGCGAAGGCGAGUCCCUGGACAACACCUGACACUGAGGCACGAAAGCCAGGGGAGCAAACGGG
Molecule: ribosomal RNA, 253 nt
Filed under: uncultured bacterium
Lineage: Bacteria
Description: partial 16S ribosomal RNA
Rfam family: Bacterial small subunit ribosomal RNA
Source: RNAcentral